Molecule: long non-coding RNA, 5501 nt
Organism: Peromyscus californicus insignis
Lineage: Eukaryota; Metazoa; Chordata; Mammalia; Rodentia; Cricetidae
Exons: 4
Source: RefSeq, a predicted model, not a curated record
CGGCAGUUAUUAUUUUGCAUUUAUUUCUGUGACUGCCGGAUGAGUGUCUUUCUGCAUCCGCGCUGUCUCCCACCAGGAUGACAAGCAUGGCCUCUGUCGAUGCUCUCCGUGCGCCCGCGCGCCCGCGCUCUCUACCACUCAGCAGGCUCCUUGCCAGGGAAGCUCUCGAUAAAUAAAAGUUGAGGUACAGAUAGGUUUUAGUGAGUUCUAAGCGCUGCGCAGCCUUUGGGAUCCUCUUUCCUGUCUUUCGCGCCCCUUCGGGUCUUUCAGUAAAGACAGAAACAUCCAUUCUCCCCGAAAGUGCCACAGUCCUGAAGGGCCUGGAACUCACAGAGAGCUGCCUGGGUCUGCCGCUCACUGUUGGGAUCAAAGGUGUGCGCCACCACACCGCACAAGGUACUGGUUUUAUUGUUGUUGUCGUUUUUUGUUUGUUUGUUUUUUUAUUUGUUUUGUUUUUUUCAGACAAUGGCUUGAGAUACAGUUCGGUCUGUUCUCAAAUUGGCACUCUUCCUGCCGAAUGCGGGGAUUACAGGCAUGUACCACCAUGUCUGGCUAGUCCAAUUUUCUUAGUGCAUGAAUCUUACCUCUCUCGUCAGCAUUUGGCUUGGAAAUGGUCAUGGGACUCAACGUUGGGGGAAAUAUUUUGGAGGGUUCUCUCCUUCUUCAACAGUAUCGCUCCAUGACCAGAAAUGCUGUGGGCAUCCUGCCACCCCACUUGUAGAUAAAGCCCACUGGAGGAUGGCAGAGGAGGAGAGAAAACGCUCCUUGAGUUGCUGAAGUCAACACUCCAAGCCUGCCCUUCCCCUGAAUCUCUGCUAUGAGAGAAUCAAUCCCUCUGCUGUUGAUUCUGAUUUGAGUUCCCCAGUUUGCCUACUUGCUGGCAACAACAUCCCAGCUGAUACGUUCCUUCCUUAACGCGCACUAUCUGCUCCGUCCUUGGGCUCACGACACAGUGCCUUUUGUCGCUACUGUCCUGUCAUGUGAUGUUAUUUUCAUUUUUGUGUGUUGAUAUCUUGCCUAUAAAGUCUAUGUCAGCUCUCCCAACUCCCAUCGACUCUCUCUAAGUCUCCCCAGGGCUUCCAAACAGCAGUUAAAUCAGGAAUGUUGAUAGAGUCCGAUUAUGUGUGCAGACUGAAGCGAGAGCAGUGAGUGAGGCGGGCGUGGCUCCCAGGGCCCUCACAACAGCCUCCUGCGUGAGUGAGGACCUCAGCUACGAACCAGAUAAGCUCUGGAAUAAAUCUGGAUGAUGACUGGCAAGAGUUAGGAAUGGAGGUGUCCAGCUCUGUACCAGGGCACAGGAGAGAGACCUGCCCUAGUCUACGGGUCAGGUGAAGUGACCCAGAGAUGGGAUCUGAAGGAUACCUGGGAACAAACUGGGUGGAAAGCAUAGACCAUGAACACCAGGUGACGGGGACAGUGGAUCUUCUCCUCCCCCUCCCAACUGACCCUUGUAGAUGAAAUUUUCUUUUGGAGCCACCAGCUCACAAAAUAAUGACAGACUUCUGGUUAAUUAUGAAUGCUUGGCCGAUAGCUUAGGCUUGUUUUUAACUAGAUCUUAUAACUUAAUAUUAGCCCAUAUUUUUAAUCUAUAUCCUUUUAUGUGACUUGGUUACCUUUUUUCCAUACUCUCCAUCCUGCUUCCUCUCUGUCUGUCUGGAGACUCCAUCUUCUUCUUCCCAGGAUUCUCUCUGCCUGGAAAGUCCUGCCUAGCUAUUGGCUGUUCACCUUUUUUAUUAAACCAGUUACAGUGACUUACCUUCACACAGUGUAAAAGAAUAUUCCAUAACUGCUCCUGCUUAACUCGGGCCUCCCACUUCUGGUGUGGACAAUUACUGUUGCUUCCUAACUGGUCCUCCUGCCAUGCUCUCCUCCACCCCUCCUCCUCCAAGCCCGGAGAGUUACCUAGUAGAUCAUUUUGGUGGCCUUGAACAAGGGACGCCAUUUCCUUCAGGGGGAUCUGUGUGAGGCAAUCCCCAGUCGCCUCUCCAGCCUUACGUCCUGCCUCUGAGAACUUCCUGCUAUGCAUGUCAACCACACUAGACAAUCCGAUUUUUCCAUACCGUUCUCUUGCCCGAGUCACCUUCCAGGCUCUUUUGGUAUGACUCUUCUGACUCAAUCCAGGUGGCAUUGCUUGGACUGGGCUCAGUGACUUCCCUCCCUGUUGCUACCACACCCUUCCUGUGACUGUCCAGCUAGAAAUGGGUGUUUCCAGUGUGGGGACUGUGGGUUACUUAAUUAUUUUCAUUUAAAAAAAAAAAAUCCUUGUACCUCUUGAAAUAGCAUGCCUCGGGAAUCAUUUGUCACACUGUUCUUCGGCACUUACUGUCAGGCUGCGUAAUCUGUACUGCUCAUACUAUAUUCCAUGUUACUGGAUUCUACUAUUGAUGUCUGUGCAUGUGUGUGUGUGUGUGUGUGUGUGUGUGUGUGUGUGUGUGUGUGUGUGUGGUGUGCUGCCAUCUACUAGGACAAGGAGAAUCUGGGUAGGGCAAGGCUUUCCCAGCAACUUCUCUCCACUUGACCCCUAACUUUGCACCCUUAGGCGGGCGUCUUGCUUUCCUAGGGAAGAACAGCAGUUCCCUUUCCCUGGGCCCAUCUGGAUCUCCACUGCUGGAGGCCAGCAAGUCUCACAGCUCUCAGCAGUCAUCACAGCACUGGGCACAGCUGGUCCCUGAAUAGGCCCUCGGUAAGUGGUGAAUUAAUGAAGGGAUAAACACAUAAAUGGAUGGAUGGAGUUAAAUUAACAGCUAAACAGAUUGUGUCUACUCUUUCUGCUGUGAAACCACAAAGGAACCUUCUCUUGCUGCCUCAGUCCUUGCAAGCAGGCCUAGGGGAACAAUGCAUCCUGGGAAAGGACCUCUCAGCAGUGAGCCUUUAUUGCUCAAGCUGAUUCCAUCCUCCAGGCCAAAGUGGGGAGUACGAGGGAAUUAAGGGGGUUCCUGGAAUGUGUGGCCUGAGCUUUCUGGAGGGACCACUCCCAUGCUAGACCUGCAAGGCUUGCCUUCUAAGAAGCUCUUAUAGAUCAUAGCCCAGGAGCCUUUGUCUCCUACGGUGGCAGCUUCCUCAGGCCCAGAUGCUGUGGGAUGUCCUGUGUGCUGUGAUAUAUGUUGCUAUGAUUGAUUGAUAAAUAAAACACUGAUUGGCCAGUAGCCAGGCAGGAAGGAUAGUGUAGGCAAGACCAGGAGAGAGGAGAAGACUGGGUGGAAGAAGGCUGAGGCAGAGAGCCGCUGCCAGCCGCUGCCAUGGGGAUCAGGAUGUAAAGUACCGGAAAGCCACGAGCCACGUGGCAAGGUAUAGAUUUAUAGAAAUGGGUUAAUUUAAGAUAUAAGAACUAGAUAGCAAGGAGCCUGAGCAAUUAGGCUAAACAGUUUAAAUAAUAUAAGCGUCUGUGUGUUUAUUUGAGUCUGAGUGGCCCAGCUACACCCAGAAGUCUAGAUGGUCUGGAAGGCUCUCCGCUGCAGGUCCAGACACUCUGGAAGCCUUGAGAGAGGCAGAUGUCCAGAGCGAGAAUGCAGACUGCUUGCUCACUUCUGGGGUCUUAAUGGAGGAAACACUGAGCAGGCCUGCAUCUGAGGCGGUCCAGACAACGGGCAGCAGGUGGAAGUGAGGCCCGGCCUGCUGCUGGAUGUGGAGGAGAAGAGCCCCUUGCAGCUGCCAAUGAGCCUGGCUGCACCCAGCCUUACUCCGACUUGACCCCUCAGUCAACCCCAAGUGUGAUUUAGGCUGCCGCUUAUUGGCUCUGAAGCUCCAAGUGUCGCAAAGGGGGAGGAACUAUCUGUAUAACUUGGAGGCCUAGGCAAAGUAAAACAGUGAGAUCUCCUUUUCAAAAUGACUAGGAAUCCCAGUGUGUCAACAUUAACACCGUCAAACCAAGCAUAAGACCCAUCGAAGCUCGGGACCCCGUAUGAUUGCGGGGUAAGAAGAAAGCCUGAAGAACUACAGCUGGGAAAAGGUGGAAGGACCGUGUUUUCCUCAAACGCAUCCAUGUUCCUUACUUUUUCUCUGUAGGGGACAAAAAGCUAUUCAUCCACCACAAAGGUCGUAGUUGAUACUUCUGUAACAAAAGACAGAUUAAUAAGAGAAAAAUAGGACAACUGAUUUAACUGAAGCUGUGUGUGGCACGGAAACCUUCGAAAACCAAGGCCCUGGAACUGGGGAGGUAGUUCAAUGGGUAAGUCCUCAGAAGUCUUUGAAAACGAAGGCCCUGGGACUGGGGAGGUAGUUCAAUGGGUAAGUCCUCAGAACUCACAGAGUAUAAAAGCGGGAUUUGGUGGCACACAUCUGUAACCCCAGAACUCCCAAGGUGAGAGGGGGGAAGAGACAGGGGGAUCAGCCAGCACAAUAGUAAGAGAACCCUGCCUCAACACAGUGGAAGGAGAGAGACAGCUCCUGAAGGCUGUCCUCUGAGCCUCGUCUGUACACCAGGGCACUUGUACGAGCAUGCGUGCACACACUCACACACACACACACACACACAGAGAAAGAGAGAGAGAAGUGAGAGAGAGAGAGGGAGAGAGAGAGAGAGAGAGAGUCACAUGCAUAAAUGUAAUACAGUUUUUAAAAAAUGAAGCCCCAAAGCCUGGUGGCACAUUCCUAUAAUUCCAUCACUCAGGAGUCAAAGGGAGAAGAAUUGUGAGUUCAAAGGCAGCUUGGAUGAUAAAAUAAGACCCUGUUUUGAAGAAACAAAACCCAAACAAGAAGAGCAGAAGACCCAGGGGAAACUGCUUUUCUGCGUAGGUAGAAGAAUGGACACAAGGAAUCUGUUUGAUGGCAAGGAUCUGCGAAGAGCUUGGCAAGGCCUGUUUGUUCAGAUUCUUUGCAUUUCUGGAUCUUGACUCUUUUUCUCUGAGCACAGGACUAGACGCCAAUCACAGGAGGGUCUUUAGAGGAGGAGGGAGAGAGAGGACGGUCAGAGUGGCGUCCUGCUUAUGCCCAGGGACCGUGUGAUGUCGCUAUCACGUUCUAUGCCUUGUACGUUCCUCCCUUGCUUGACUGUCUUUUGGUACACUCACUGCUGACUGGAUAGAACUCAGGAGAGUUCCAGAUUAGUUGGUCUCAAAUAGAGAUUGCCUUCCUGUGAGUGAAGACCCCAAAACCUGGAGUGUACGUUGACUUUGAUCAAGGUAGCCAUUUUUGUUGCCACUUUUGAGUUAAGUUAUGGAGGAAGCGCCUUAAGUUCAGGCUGUCCUUGAACUUCUGAUCCUCCUGCCUCUGAUUUCAGAAUGCUAGGAUUCCAGGCAUGUGCUAUCACACUUCAAAUAUAGUAAAACUUUGUAGUUUUUUUGUUUCAAAUAAACCUCCAAGGGAAGAAAUUAAGAACCAAUUUGGAGUCACGUGUGGCUGUAUACACUAAUCCCAGGUGGAUCUCUGAGCCUGGUCUACAGAGUGAGUUCCAGGACAGCCAGGGCUACACAGUGAAACCCUAUCUGUAAAAACCAUAAACAAACAAACAAACAAAAAAACACCAUGAACAAGGCCAGCCUAAGCUAUAUUAGACUGUCUCA